Molecule: long non-coding RNA, 1498 nt
Filed under: Mus musculus (house mouse)
Lineage: Eukaryota; Metazoa; Chordata; Mammalia; Rodentia; Muridae
Description: long non-coding RNA chr16:38746710-38748208
Source: RNAcentral
AAAUCUUUUUGAGAAUUCAGUUAUUUACCAAGCAUUGAUUGGGGAUAUACUUAGGGUCUCUGACUUUAUGAAUUUUUUUUACAACAUUUUGUAAUACUUUAAUUUUAGAUUGCUUAAAAGUUUUAAAAAUGAUACAGAAAGUUCAUGUAGCUUCUAAUAUAUUUAUUCCUUUACACAGCAGUGAGACUUUAUCAACGCUGUCUCGACUUCAUUUCUCAAUACUGCUGACAGACUUUAUUUCUCAAUACUAGUAACAGGUUUUUGAGGUCAGUAGGUCUUACCUGGUCAUUUGAUAACCUUUUUAAGGUGAUGUUGGCUUCUGAUAACCUCUUUAAGGUGAUGUUGGCUUUUGAUAACCUUUUAAAGGUGAUGUUGGCUUCUCUGUAUAGUUAUCAACUGCAGUUAACUUUAAGGGAGAGUCUUUGCAACCAUAGAGCACAAAACUGUUCAUUCUCAAAUCUUCAUCAGUUGAUUCUUGAUGCCUAUGGUGAAGCCAGACUGACGCAAUGAUUGCUGUAAUGUUUGCUUAGUGGGGUGUUUUUUUUUUUUUUUCCUUUCUUGGCUGUUAAAUUGGAAGUUUCCUAUAUGAAAGAGAUUAUCUUUUGUCUCCUAUUCCUUUCCUUAUUUGAUCAGCUAUGUCAAUAUAUACUCAUGGAAAUUAAUUUUAUUCUGUAGAUUAAAAUACAGAGCACAUUUUAAAAAUUAAAUGUUUCUACUUGGGAGCCAUAAUAGAGUGUUAUCAGCCUUUCCUCUGCACUGCCCAGAGAACCUCGAGGUAGCAAGACCAAGUGCCUGGGGUGACGUGCCCACACACCGUGUCUGUGGUAGCUGUGGGUCGCCUUAGAGGGCUUAGGAUACAGAUUUUGGUGCCUACCAGCUGCUGAAUGCCAUCAUAGCCUUUCUAUCCCGUGCAGGAGCAUUUAUUGCAUAAACGUGGCACCUUGGAGGCAUGGAAAUGGUGUCUGUUUAUGCCCAGUUGCUGUUGGUUAUAGUUUACUUUCCUUAUUAGAUAAUCUUUACUAUUAUGGAAAGUUUAAAAAACACACAGACAUACAAAGACCAUGAACCCUUAUGUCAUUGUCUCCUAACUAUGUUUUACCAUGUUUUACCGGUCUCGUUUCAUGUGUUUCUCUUCUUUGGAGUGAGAAGAGGCGACGAGAGCACGUUUGAAAAUCAAACUGUAGACAUUAAGGGCAGGGAGAAGACUGAACUAAAGAAGGGCAGUACUUCCCUUUUGGCCUGUGGGUGUCCGCUGCGCCUGUGAAUGUCCAUGCCUGUGCUCAGAACUGGCAGGUGCUCAGAGCAGACCCAUUGCAUUGAGGGAAGGGAAAGCUUGCUCAUGGCACACACCUUUAAUAUCAGAGCUCGGGAGGCAGAGGCAUCUUUAUGAAUUAGAGGCCAGCCUAAGCUACAGAAUGAGUUCCAGGACAGCCAUGGCUACACAGAGAAACCUUGUCUCAAAAAACAAAACAAGACAACAACAAAACAAAACAAAACC